AGUGAGCGCUGGCGGUAGGCCUAACACAUGCAAGUCGAACGGCAGCACAGGAGAGCUUGCUCUCUGGGUGGCGAGUGGCGGACGUGUGAGGAAUACAUCGGAAUCUACUUUUUCGUGGGGGAUAACGUAGGGAAACUUACGCUAAUACCGCAUACGACCUACGGGUGAAAGCAGGGGAUCUUCGGACCUUGCGCGAUUGAAUGAGCCGAUGUCGGAUUAGCUAGUUGGCGGGGUAAAGGCCCACCAAGGCGACGGUCCGUAGCUGGUCUGAGAGGAUGAUCAGCCACACUGGAACUGAGACACGGUCCAGACUCCUACGGGAGGCAGCAGUGGGGAAUAUUGGACAAUGGGCGCAAGCCUGAUCCAGCCAUACCGCGUGGGUGAAGAAGGCCUUCGGGUUGUAAAGCCCUUUUGUUGGGAAAGAAAUCCAGCUGGUUAAUACCCGGUUGGGAUGACGGUACCCAAAGAAUAAGCACCGGCUAACUUCGUGCCAGCCGCCGCCGUAA
This 506-nucleotide ribosomal RNA is filed under the name uncultured bacterium. RNAcentral describes it as "partial 16S ribosomal RNA". It matches the Rfam family "Bacterial small subunit ribosomal RNA", at positions 29 to 523 of the family's 1533-position model. The record is from RNAcentral.